UUGCUUUGGCAGCACAUACACUAAAAUUGGAAUGAUUACCCAGAUUAGCAUGGCCCUUAUUGCAAGCAUGACAUGCAAAUUCAUGAAUCGUUUCGUAUUUCU
This is a small nuclear RNA of Rattus norvegicus (Norway rat), 102 nucleotides long. The record is from Ensembl. Lineage: Eukaryota; Metazoa; Chordata; Mammalia; Rodentia; Muridae.